This 429-nucleotide ribosomal RNA is filed under the name Bacteroidota bacterium. RNAcentral describes it as "Bacteroidetes bacterium partial 16S ribosomal RNA". It matches the Rfam family "Bacterial small subunit ribosomal RNA", at positions 355 to 776 of the family's 1533-position model. The record is from RNAcentral. Lineage: Bacteria; Pseudomonadati; Bacteroidota.
UAGGGAAUCUUCGGCAAUGGGGGGAACCCUGACCGAGCAACGCCGCGUGAGUGAAGAAGGUUUUCGGAUCGUAAAGCUCUGUUGUUAAGGAAGAACGAGUGUGAGAAUGGAAAGUUCAUGCUGUGACGGUACUUAACCAGAAAGGGACGGCUAACUACGUGCCAGCAGCCGCGGUAAUACGUAGGUCCCGAGCGUUGUCCGGAUUUAUUGGGCGUAAAGCGAGCGCAGGCGGUUAGAUAAGUCUGAAGUUAAAGGCAGUGGCUCAACCAUUGUAGGCUUUGGAAACUGUUUAACUUGAGUGCAGAAGGGGAGAGUGGAAUUCCAGGUGUAGCGGUGAAAUGCGUAGAUAUAUGGAGGAACACCGGUGGCGAAAGCGGCUCUCUGGUCUGUAACUGACGCUGAGGCUCGAAAGCGUGGGGAGCGAACAGG